GGGCCCGCACAAGCGGUGGAGCAUGUGGUUUAAUUCGAAGAUACGCGAGGAACCUUACCAGGGCUUAAAUGUAAGUUGCAUAAGUUAGAGAUAGCUUUUUCUUCGGACUACUUACAAGGUGCUGCAUGGUUGUCGUCAGCUCGUGCCGUGAGGUGUCAGGUUAAGUCCUAUAACGAGCGCAACCCCUGUUGUUAGUUGCCAUCGAGUAAUGUCGGGAACUCUAACAAGACUGCCGGUGCAAACCGUGAGGAAGGUGGGGAUGACGUCAAAUCAUCACGGCCCUUACGAGUAGGGCUACACACGUGCUACAAUGGUGCAUACAAAGGGUUGCGAUCUCGCAAGAGCUAG
This 348-nucleotide ribosomal RNA is filed under the name uncultured bacterium. RNAcentral's name for it is "bacterial SSU rRNA". It matches the Rfam family "Bacterial small subunit ribosomal RNA", at positions 917 to 1267 of the family's 1533-position model. The record is from RNAcentral.